RNAcentral lists this ribosomal RNA (43 nucleotides) under Aspergillus niger. RNAcentral describes it as "partial 28S ribosomal RNA". RNAcentral also lists the same sequence under 47 other names. The record is from RNAcentral. Lineage: Eukaryota; Fungi; Ascomycota; Eurotiomycetes; Eurotiales; Aspergillaceae.
UGACCUCGGAUCAGGUAGGGAUACCCGCUGAACUUAAGCAUAU